This 1830-nucleotide long non-coding RNA is filed under the name Apteryx owenii (little spotted kiwi). RNAcentral's name for it is "lncRNA (ENSAOWG00000017284.1)". Lineage: Eukaryota; Metazoa; Chordata; Aves; Apterygiformes; Apterygidae. The record is from RNAcentral.
GGUCACGUGGACAAAGAGUCACUUUAUGCGCCACCCGGUGUAUUUGAGGACAGCUGCUCCAAAAGAUUAAGAUUUGCAACACGGUGCCACCACCCUGCUGCCCUGCCUCAGGUUUUCCACAGCUUUAAUUUCCAGCUGCAGCACCUUAGGAGCCCCAGCAAUGACAAAUGACAGAAGCCUAAUGGAGAAGUCUUGCCUAGUACGAAAAGGAACAUAAAUUGUCUGCAUCAAGUGGUAAUAAGGAAAUAUUGUUUAUUCUUUUCAGAGAUUGGAAAAUCUUUUCCAGUUGUAGGUCCCAACCAACAGGGGUUGAGAUACUUAUCUUAAAGGAAGAGCCGAAGUUUCCCAUGAAGUCUGCCACUAAAUUACUAUGUGAGAAAGAGUGCUGAUACCUGCCGACGGACGCCGGCAGUGGUGGUGUGACCACCUCUCCAUCAAAGACAAAGUCUUUUGGAGGCCCAAAGCUGCCCUGCUCCACGGUGCAGGCACAGCCAUGGUGCUUCCUCUGCCGCUCGUGCCUCAGCUGGAGGACUAUUUCCGUAGAGACCCGGAGACGUGAACGAGGCAGCAGUUCAGCAGACUCUCUGUGUAGUCCUGCUCUCGCCCUUCCCCUGUGCUUGUGCUGGCACAAUCAUUGCACACCCGCACGGGGAACCAGAGUGGGGAACUGGUCAGUGGCAUUCCUACCUUCUCCCAACUUUAAGCGCUCAUGAAACUGAGUCCUUGGUGAAAUUCUGGACUGUAACUCGGAAAAGAGUUUCAGAUGGGAGCUCUGGUGACUGGGAAGUACAGGAGAGAGCACCCUGUUGAAGGGGCUGUUGAGAAGGGCAGGACUAAUGAGAUACCAGUUGGCCAAAGUAUAUUCCCUAGCAAACCCUUGACACAGGACUCGGAGAGGGCUGGUGACCUACUGAUCUCCUGGUGGAGAAGGUCAAAGGAGCAGCUUGUAUUCCUUAGAGAGAUCUUCAGGUCCUGAAAAGAAUGGAUGGAGUAUGAACGCAAUAGCUCUAUUCCCUGUGUGAAAUUGUAUUGUUUGAGGAACUGCUCUGCAGGGUGCUGUCUCACUCCUGCUCCCAUUCACUGCUAUGUGCUACUGUUAGAAGAAGUAGCAAGGGCCAUGGGCUGCAGUGGCUUUGGUGUUUGCACCACGCUUGUUUCUCAGACUGCUGUAGAAAGAAAGACAUGACCCUGAAUGAGAGAGGAGGUUGUGUGGAGGUGAGGACCAGAUUCUUGAAGACAAGGGUGCUACAGUUGAAAGUAAAUGUACAACUCUCAAGGGAUAUCUGGAUGCUUUGGAAAAACCCUACUAGACACCACUCUACAUUUUAGGCUGCUAAAUACAUUUACUAUCUGAUUUCCAAAUGAAUUUCUCUCUAAGUUCUUUAUAUCGUAUAUAUCACGUUAUUGCUCAAUCCGCUGAGCCAGGCUAUAUGAUUAGUGCUGGGCUGCAGAUGGCUGUCAGGACAAGUCUGCAGAGCAAGUAACAAAGAAUGAGAACAUCUGCAACAGGGCUGCCACAGCUGAAGGUACAUGUUAGGGCCUGAGAUCACCUAGCAGCUCAUUUCCCCAUAGAGGAAGAGGCUCUGUGCCCUUUUCUCUCCUCUCCUCCUGUCUUGGCCCUCCUCCCCUCACUUGCAGUGGCUUGCAUUUUUCAGACCCUACACCAAGCCAAUUCAGUUUACUGGAAUCAAAACAAAAUUAACCUGGAAAAAAGGUGAAUCAUUUUCUGAUGGGUUAUUGAGUUGACUCAGAUGUGCUGAAGAGCAACAGGGCUAAUGCAAAGGAUGGGAUGGGAUUAUAUGGCUGGGACUGGGUCUAGGAAAAGGAAGA